AACAUGUCUUUUAGAUAAUAAUUUAAAGUUUAAUCUGCCCACUGAUGAAAUAUUAAAGGGCUGCAGUAUAUUGACUGUACAAAGGUAGCAUAAUCAAUAGUCUUUUAAUUGAAGACUUGUAUGAAGGAUUUGAUGAAAUAUAAACUGUCUCUAAUUUAAUAAUAGAAAUUAAUUUUUUAGUUAAAAAGCUAAAAUUUAUUUAAAAGACGAGAAGACCCUAUAGAGUUUUAUAUAAAUUUUAUUAAAGAUUAUAUUUAUAAUUAAAAAUUAAAAGUGAAAUUUAUAUUUUAUUGGGGUGAUAAAAAAAUUAAAAUAACUUUUUUUUAUAUUAAACAAAAAUAAGUGAAAAAUUGAUCCAUAAUUAAUGAUUAAAAGAAAAAAUUACCUUAGGGAUAACAGCGUAAUUUUUUUUUUUAGUACAAAUAAGAAAAAGAGUUUGCGACCUCGAUGUUGGAUUAAGAUAAAAUUUAAAUGCAAAAGUUUAAAAUUUUGAUCUGUUCGAUCAUUAAAAUCUUACAUGAUCU
Molecule: ribosomal RNA, 524 nt
Filed under: Euthalia nais
Lineage: Eukaryota; Metazoa; Arthropoda; Insecta; Lepidoptera; Nymphalidae
Description: partial 16S ribosomal RNA
Rfam family: Bacterial large subunit ribosomal RNA (bases 392-524)
Source: RNAcentral